UCGCCUGUUUAACAAAAACAUGUCUUUUUGAAUUUUUUUUAAAGUCUAGCCUGCCCACUGAUAAUUUUUAAAUGGCCGCAGUAUACUAACUGUGCAAAGGUAGCAUAAUCAUUAGUCUUUUAAUUGAAGGCUGGUAUGAAUGGUUGGACGAGAUAUUAACUGUUUCAUAAAAAUUUAUAAUAGAAUUUUAUUUUUUAGUCAAAAAGCUAAAAUAAUAUUAAAAGACGAGAAGACCCUAUAAAUCUUUAUACAUAGAUUAUUAGAAUUUCAUAGAUUUUUUUUGUUAUAAUAAUUAAUUGUAUUUUAUUGGGGUGAUAUUAAAAUUUAAUAAACUUUUAAUUUUAAAAAUCAUUAAUUUAUGAAUAAUUGAUCCGUUAAUAACGAUUAGAAAAAUAAGUUACUUUAGGGAUAACAGCGUAAUUUUUUUGGAGAGUUCAUAUCGAUAAAAAAGAUUGCGACCUCGAUGUUGGAUUAAGAUAUAAUUUUAGGUGUAGCCGCUUAAAUUUUAAGUCUGUUCGACUUUUAAAUUCUUACGUGAUCUGAGUUCAGACCGGA
RNAcentral lists this ribosomal RNA (555 nucleotides) under Sarcophaga peregrina. Its description in RNAcentral is "partial 16S ribosomal RNA". It matches the Rfam family "Bacterial large subunit ribosomal RNA", at positions 1796 to 2620 of the family's 2925-position model. Lineage: Eukaryota; Metazoa; Arthropoda; Insecta; Diptera; Sarcophagidae. The record is from RNAcentral.